UUGGAUGCAUAUUUAUUUAUUAUGAAUUUUAAGCACUUUUAAUUGAUAAUAAAUAUAAUUUAUUAUUUAAAUCAAUAGACCCAAGAUGAGUCCACUUAGUGGUGUAUUUCAAGAUGCCUGUGUUGGUGGAAGACUAACCCAAAAGGGCCACUCACAUGUCCUCACAAGCUAACACAUGCUGGUGAAGUGGGCACAAGCCUAAUAUAUGUCAUUUCCAGCUACUAAUUGC
This 229-nucleotide long non-coding RNA is filed under the name Vitis vinifera (wine grape). Its description in RNAcentral is "long non-coding RNA (VVIN_LNC007750)". The record is from RNAcentral. Lineage: Eukaryota; Viridiplantae; Streptophyta; Magnoliopsida; Vitales; Vitaceae.